Molecule: non-coding RNA, 294 nt
Organism: Paramuricea clavata
Lineage: Eukaryota; Metazoa; Cnidaria; Anthozoa; Malacalcyonacea; Plexauridae
Source: the annotation of a GenBank genome assembly
UAGGGGGUCAUUUCUGAGUGCGUUGGGCCGCAACUGGCAUCCGGAACAUUUCAACUGUGCUGGAUGUAGGAAAUCUCUGCAGAAUAAAGGCUUCGUUGAAGAGUCAGAUAAUCUGUAUUGUGAAAAUUGUUAUGAUAUGAAGUUCGCGCCACAUUGUGAUGUCUGUAAUGAAGCUAUUGUUGGGGUAAGUCUUUAUCGUACCGUGUGCAUUCUAAUAGACGCCCAAUGUCUAAUAAUCGCCCGCUUCGUGUCGGAAAUUUCUUUCUUUCUUAAUUAGUACCAGGGGCGUAGGAA